Molecule: ribosomal RNA, 342 nt
Filed under: uncultured Corynebacterium sp.
Lineage: Bacteria; Bacillati; Actinomycetota; Actinomycetes; Mycobacteriales; Corynebacteriaceae
Description: bacterial SSU rRNA
Rfam family: Bacterial small subunit ribosomal RNA
Source: RNAcentral
CAUGGUUGUCGUCAGCUCGUGUCGUGAGAUGUUGGGUUAAGUCCCGCAACGAGCGCAACCCUUGUCUUAUGUUGCCAGCACGUGAUGGUGGGGACUCAUGAGAGACUGCCGGGGUUAACUCGGAGGAAGGUGGGGAUGACGUCAAAUCAUCAUGCCCCUUAUGUCCAGGGCUUCACACAUGCUACAAUGGUCGGUACAACGCGUGUGCGACACUGUGAGGUGAAGCUAAUCGCUCUAAAGCCGGUCGUAGUUCGGAUUGGGGUCUGCAACUCGACCCCAUGAAGUCGGAGUCGCUAGUAAUCGCAGAUCAGCAACGCUGCGGUGAAUACGUUCCCGGGCCUU